AUUUUUGCUUAAACUGAAAUGGAUGUACUACAGAAAAAGGGAAAAGUUUUAACUGCAAUUUUUGGUUGCUGUUUACUUUUCCAGUGGCUUUUAAGUUAGAUCAUUUCAUAACCAUAUUCUAGUUCAUUAGCAGAUUUUGAAAGAUCUUAAUACCUCAGUGAUAAUACUCCACUAGUUCCGUGGCACAAACCAAGGACAGAUACACUGUGGAAGAGCAGAGGAGUCACCGAGCCAGCAAUACAUUACCUUCUACAAUUAGGAAGCAGUUUGGUGGAACAGCACUUCAGAAUCAGCUGCAGCUGGACCUGUAGUUCAAGGGGCUGCUACAGCAGUGUCUCUGACAUGAUGUUGAGGAAGCUGCUGAUCUUGGCUUAUGGCAGAGGCACCAGUGAAGCAGCUCCUGAGACAGCAAUAUUUCAUGACUGACAGAAACAAGGAUUGCUGGAGAAGAAAAUAAGAUCAUCUUAAUUUCACAUAUAUCUAAUCCUUGUGAGGAAAAUGUCACAUUAUACAAGCAUCGUGACUUUAACACAGCCUAAUGCCAAGCUGGAAAUAUGAUGCAAGAGACUAGACUUUCUGAAGCCAAUUAUUGACCGUCUCCUUGCUAAUCAUGUCCAUGAAUGAAAAGUUAGCACAGUAAUGCAUUACAUGGUAUAAUGCUAUUUGGCAGGAAGCGUGGGCAGAGGGUAAGUCUGUUCUGUUCUUUGGGAUCUAUUGUAAGCAGGAAAGUAGAUAAGGAACUAAAGGACUACAUGGGUCAAAAAUUCUUUCUUGGCUUUUGGAGAAAAGAUGCUGGUAACAAACUCUAGAGGUUUCCAUUCUGUUAAUACUUCCAUUUGGAUCAUUUAUAUCAAGGUAGGUACUAGACAAUUUUCUUCUAAUAUGUUUAUAUUCAGCACACAUUUGUAUGCAUGCUUUACGUCUCUCAUGGUAUAUGUAAAGUAAGCUGCGCAUUGCCAUGUCUAUAGGAUUAUAAAUACCAUGAUCUCUGUUUCUUCAGGUGGCAAUGCAUCUGUUAAGAAAUGUACUGAUUACGAAGCUAUAUCCAGUUUGAACACUGAGCGGCGCUACGAUAUUAACUGUUGCAAUUCACUCAGUCUUCUCCCUUGGAAUCAGGUGACAGCUGAAUUUUCAUACUCUGACAUCAAAACUGGCCUGUGUUGCCCUUCCAUGCUCUGAAGUAGCAGGGAAUUCAAGGUCUUUCCAGUGACUUUUCAUGGUCUUAUUCUACGACCACAGACAAAAACUACAGAUGUUUCUGCAGCCUCUCAGAUCCACUCAGGUUCUGAAAACAUGAGAACGGAGAUUCGGUGCAGCCAACACGCCCAGGAACGUGAAGAAUUGGUGGCAAAAGCGCCGUGGAGCCCAGGUGAGUUGGUAUUUUCACUUAGGGACUAAAGAUUUUAACUUUUAACCACUUGAGCUGUAGUUUUGGUUGCAGUUAACUACCCAUAAUGUUUUUUUCUAAGAACUUUUGUACAGCCUCAAUGCUUAGGGNNNNNNNNNNGGGGCGGGGUGGGGGGACCGGCUGUGGAGCGGAGCCGGGGAGAGGAGGGGAGGCGGCCCCCGGGAGCGACCGGUGGCCCCGCAGCCGCGGAGAC
Molecule: long non-coding RNA, 1601 nt
Filed under: Calidris pugnax (ruff)
Lineage: Eukaryota; Metazoa; Chordata; Aves; Charadriiformes; Scolopacidae
Description: lncRNA (ENSCPUG00000003879.1)
Source: RNAcentral